Molecule: long non-coding RNA, 632 nt
Organism: Carcharodon carcharias (great white shark)
Lineage: Eukaryota; Metazoa; Chordata; Chondrichthyes; Lamniformes; Lamnidae
Exons: 5
Source: RefSeq, a predicted model, not a curated record
AAAAAUGUGAAACACCAGUUAAGAUUGGAUUUUCUCCUAUCACAGACCAGAAAAGUUGGAAAAGAUUUGUUUGUAUGGAAAUGGCAAAGUUCCAAAUUCCUUGGAACUUUAAAGGAAGGACGAGGAAGAAAAUAAAUUCUGCAGAAGAUUAAAUUACUUUCAUAAACAGAUUUGCUUUUGGAAAAGAAAUGGAUACAAGCAACCUUCUGAUGCUGGUGGUGUUGAGAGAGUUACAUCUGCUUGAAAAAGCUUCUGUGCUGAAGAGGACACCUGAGGCCUUACCACUCAAUAAAUCAGCUCCAACAGGUUGUCUCAGUGGCUUUAAUCCCAGGAACCUGGAUUAUUUGACCCCACAUCCUUGAGUUGAAAGAACAGUGUGAAAAUCCACUAGACCACCCAGUUCCUGUGAUUCCUAACCUAUUUUCUACAUCCUCACAUGUGGACCCUCUUAGGAAUGAAAAAUGAGGAAGGUGGCUACUCUGUGUAAGGAUGGAAGUGCGCUGCUACCUCUUUGCAUCAGUUCAUAUUGCCCUGUGAAGAAGAUAGAUUGGCUAUGCCAGCAGAUUGUGCUGUCAUCAAGCAGCUGUAUCAGGUCACCACCAUCAUCCACAACAUCAUCUAAUGAAUUUGCU